Molecule: ribosomal RNA, 567 nt
Filed under: uncultured bacterium
Lineage: Bacteria
Description: bacterial SSU rRNA
Rfam family: Bacterial small subunit ribosomal RNA
Source: RNAcentral
CCUACGGGAGGCAGCAGUGGGGAAUAUUGGGCAAUGGAGGAAACUCUGACCCAGCGACGCCGCGUGAGGGAUGAAGGCCUUCGGGUUGUAAACCUCUUUCAGUAGGGAAGAAGCGAAAGUGACGGUACCUACAGAAGAAGCACCGGCUAACUAUGUGCCAGCAGCCGCGGUAAUACAUAGGGUGCAAGCGUUGUCCGGAAUUAUUGGGCGUAAAGAGCUCGUAGGUGGUUCGAUACGUCGGAUGUGAAAAUCAGGGGCUCAACCCCUGACCUGCAUCCGAUACGGUCGAGCUAGAGUUUGGUAGGGGAGACUGGAAUUCCUGGUGUAGCGGUGGAAUGCGCAGAUAUCAGGAGGAACACCGAUGGCGAAGGCAGGUCUCUGGGCCAAUACUGACACUGAGGAGCGAAAGCGUGGGGAGCGAACAGGAUUAGAUACCCUGGUAGUCCACGCCGUAAACGGUGGGCGCUAGUUGUGCGAACCUUCCACGGUUUGUGCGACGCAGCUAACGCAUUAAGCNCCCCGCCUGGGGAGUACGAUCGCAAGAUUAAAACUCAAAUGAAUUGACGG